RNAcentral lists this ribosomal RNA (454 nucleotides) under uncultured bacterium. Its description in RNAcentral is "bacterial SSU rRNA". It matches the Rfam family "Bacterial small subunit ribosomal RNA", at positions 340 to 786 of the family's 1533-position model. The record is from RNAcentral.
UACGGAAGGCAGCAGUGGGGAAUAUUGCACAAUGGGCGCAAGCCUGAUGCAGCCAUGCCGCGUGUAUGAAAAAGGCCUUCGGGUUGUAAAGUACUUUCAGUCGUGAGGAAGGUGUUAAGGUUAAUAACCUUAGCAAUUGACGUUAGCGACAGAAGAAGCACCGGCUAACUCCGUGCCAGCAGCCGCGGUAAUACGGAGGGUGCGAGCGUUAAUCGGAAUUACUGGGCGUAAAGGGCACGCAGGCGGUUAAUUAAGUUGGAUGUGAAAUCCCCGGGCUUAACCUGGGAAUGGCAUUCAAGACUGGUUAGCUAGAGUCUUGUAGAGGGGGUAGAAUUCCAUGUGUAGCGGUGAAAUGCGUAGAGAUGUGGAGGAAUACCGGUGGCGAAGGCGGCCCCGUGGACAAAGACUGACGCUCAUGUGCGAAAGCGUGGGAGAGCAAACAGGAUUAGAUACC